CCUACGGGUGGCAGCAGUGAGGAAUAUUGGUCAAUGGACGCGAGUCUGAACCAGCCAAGUAGCGUGAAGGAUGACUGCCCUAUGGGUUGUAAACUUCUUUUAUAUGGGGAUAAAAUGUUCCACGUGUGGGGUUUUGUAUGUACCGUAUGAAUAAGGAUCGGCUAACUCCGUGCCAGCAGCCGCGGUAAUACGGAGGAUUCAAGCGUUAUCCGGAUUUAUUGGGUUUAAAGGGAGCGUAGGUGGAUUGUUAAGUCAGUGGUGAAAUGUUGCGGCUCAACCGUAAAAUUGCAGUUGAAACUGGCAGUCUUGAGUACAGUAGAGGUAGGCGGAAUGCGUGGUGUAGCGGUGAAAUGCUUAGAUAUCACGAAGAACUCCGAUUGCGAAGGCAGCUCACUGGACUGCAACUGACACUGAGGCUCGAAAGUGUGGGUAUCAAACAGGAUUAGAUACCCUGGUAGUC
This 460-nucleotide ribosomal RNA is filed under the name uncultured bacterium. RNAcentral describes it as "partial 16S ribosomal RNA". It matches the Rfam family "Bacterial small subunit ribosomal RNA", at positions 338 to 795 of the family's 1533-position model. The record is from RNAcentral.